RNAcentral lists this ribosomal RNA (253 nucleotides) under uncultured bacterium. Its description in RNAcentral is "partial 16S ribosomal RNA". It matches the Rfam family "Bacterial small subunit ribosomal RNA", at positions 524 to 776 of the family's 1533-position model. The record is from RNAcentral.
UACGUAGGUGGCAAGCGUUGUCCGGAAUCAUUGGGCGUAAAGCGCGUGUAGGCGGCCCGAUAAGUCCGCUGUGAAAGUCCAGGGCUCAACCCUGGGAUGCCGGUGGAUACUGUCGGGCUCGAGUCCGGAAGAGGAGUGUGGAAUUCCUGGUGUAGCGGUGAAAUGCGCAGAUAUCAGGAGGAACACCAAUGGCGAAGGCAGCACUCUGGGACGUGACUGACGCUGAGACGCGAAAGCGUGGGGAGCAAACAGG